Molecule: ribosomal RNA, 254 nt
Filed under: uncultured bacterium
Lineage: Bacteria
Description: partial 16S ribosomal RNA
Rfam family: Bacterial small subunit ribosomal RNA
Source: RNAcentral
UACAGAGGGGGCGAGCGUUGUUCGGAAUUACUGGGCGUAAAGGGCGCGUAGGCGGCCCGCUAAGUCGAACGUGAAAUCCCCAGGCUCAACCUGGGAACUGCGUCCGAUACUGGCAGGCUUGAAUCCGGGAGAGGGAUGCAGAAUUCCAGGUGUAGCGGUGAAAUGCGUAGAUAUCUGGAGGAAUACCGGUGGCGAAGGCGGCAUCCUGGACCGGCAUUGACGCUGAGUGAGCGAAAGCCAGGGGAGCAAACGGG